Molecule: ribosomal RNA, 424 nt
Filed under: uncultured Saprospiraceae bacterium
Lineage: Bacteria; Pseudomonadati; Bacteroidota; Saprospiria; Saprospirales; Saprospiraceae
Description: bacterial SSU rRNA
Rfam family: Bacterial small subunit ribosomal RNA
Source: RNAcentral
UAAGGAAUAUUGGUCAAUGGGCGCAAGCCUGAACCAGCCAUCCUGCGUGCAGGAAGAAGGCCCUAUGGGUUGUAAACUGCUUUUGUCAGGGAAUAAACCUGUGGAUUUAUCCGCAGCUGAAGGUACCUGAAGAAUAAGCACCGGCUAACUCCGUGCCAGCAGCCGCGGUAAUACGGAGGGUGCAAGCGUUAUCCGGAAUUACUGGGUUUAAAGGGUGCGUAGGCGGCCCUGUAAGUCAGGAGUGAAAGUUUGCGGCUUAACCGUAAAAUUGCUUUUGAUACUGCAGGGCUAGAAUCAGGAUGAGGUCAGCGGAAUGUGGCAUGUAGCGGUGAAAUGCAUAGAUAUGCCAUAGAACACCAAUUGCGAAGGCAGCUGGCUAGACCUGCAUUGACGCUGAGGCACGAAAGCGUGGGGAGCGAACAGG